Molecule: long non-coding RNA, 1948 nt
Filed under: Manduca sexta (tobacco hornworm)
Lineage: Eukaryota; Metazoa; Arthropoda; Insecta; Lepidoptera; Sphingidae
Description: uncharacterized LOC115456407
Source: RNAcentral
AUAAUAAAAAAAAAAUUACCAAAAUUUUGACUAUUAUAAACAAAAUUAUAAACUAGUCUCCAAUAAAUAUUGCAAUUUGCAUUUUAAAAUGUUUUCAGCUUAAAUAGUUUAUUAAAUUAGUCGUGUCUCCAAUAAUUAAAUAUUGCUAUACUUUAUCCUAUGACUUUUAUGUCACAGUAAAUAAAUUAGUGUUCGAAACCUCGCAUCCAAAAAAAUAUGCCUCGUGUGUAUGUUUCAAAAGCUCAAGGCCCUAUAAGAGGUAUAAUCCCACAACACUAAAAACUGCUAUAGAAGCCUAUGAAAAGGAAAAUAAAUCUCUCUCGGAAAUAUCUAAAGAGUAUAAUAUAAGUAAGUCUGUUUUGCAUAGACAUGCAACACGAAACAUGAAAAGUCAUGGUGGUCAACAAUCCAUAAGCGAAGAAGUGGAAAAAUCUAUAGUUGAAUAUAUAAACAUUUGUUCUACAUUGGGAUAUCCACUUAAUACACUUGAUUUACGAUGUUUAAUAAAGGGAUACCUAGAUAGAGCCGGAAUAGAAAUUAAAAAAUUUAGAGAUAACCUACCUGGCAUAGAUUAUAUCAAAGGUUUCUUAAGACGUCACAGUAAUGAAAUUUCAGAUCAAAUAAGUAUGAAAAAAAGAAGAUCUAAAGGGCAGUAUCAGCACAAAUAAUAGAAGAUUAUUUUUCAGCACUGAAUAAUUCUUUAGUGGUUGUAGUUUUAUCUGACACAGAAGAUUCUAAUGAAUCAAAGUCAUCUGAUGAUUCAGAAAAAGAAAAAGGAUUUGAUUAAAAUACUUGACAUUUGGGUAUUUUGCCCUGAGAGGAUUAUGAAUUAUACUUAGUUGUCAAUGUUGCUAUUGAUGGCUGUGUCUAUUGAUGAUGCAUUGGUGCCAUUCUUCAUGGUGUAGUAACCAACUCAAGAGUACAAUGCCUGGACACAAUUGGCCCUGUUAACUGUAAAGCUCAAGAUAAUUUGAUAUUAUGUACAAUAUGUUUGAUGAUGUUUGGGCAAAAUCUAAAGCAUUUUUGUACUAUACCAAUAAUUUCUUCAUAUUUCUUCCACUAAACUCAACCCACCAGCCACAGAUUUGAGAUGUAUUUUUUGAAAAUAAUGAUCGGUGACAUGUUAUUCUUAUGGGAAAAAACAAGGCUGGGUAUGAUUUCUUUUUUCAUAGCAGAUGUCUUUCAUAAUUUUUUAAGUCACUAUGAUUGCCAAAAAGCAACAUGUAUUCAUGAAGUGAUGAUAAGUUAAAAAUGCCAGUAAAACAGAUGACUGAAGGAGAAGGGAUAUAUUUUUUCAGAUAUACUAAUACAUAAUACAUUUAUUCUGUAAUAUUUGUUUUAUUUUGAGUUGUUCAACAUUCCAAAGCAUGUGAUCUGGCAUUAUUAAUAUAAAUGUGUAAUGUUAGGUCCUGUUAGGUAUGCUUUGUUGUACUAUGUAUAAUAUACCUACUGGUUCAAAUAUCAACAUUAUAAUGUGAAGAUACCUUAACCACUACAGUAUUUAUUAGGAACUGCUUAUUUAUUUUAAAUAUUAUAUUUUCACAUUAUUGUAUUCACAGAUUUUGCAAAAAAAAAAAUAGCAGGAAGUUAAUAGGUCUAUAUAAUAUUAUCCUUAAUAGGGCACCAGGUUUUGUCAUUUUUUUUUCAGCUGAUUGGUAUGUGAUGCAGUAUGAAUGAUUGCAUUAUUAUGAAAUGAACUCAUGAUACUGCAUAUUUCAUGUAGUCAUCAAGUACAUUAUUGAUCUGUUUAAUAUUUUACUAGUUCUAUGCUGUUAUUAAUAACUUAAUUAGUAUAAUUGGUUUAUCCAUUCUAAUUGAAAUAAAUAAAUAAAAUAUUUAGUACAUCAGAAAUGCUGAAGAAUUUCCUACGAAAGUUUUAUGUACCUACUUCUACAUGUUCAUAUAAAUUUUUCUAUUUUGCAAUUUAAAUAAAUUAUUGCAGAUAAUA